AUUUGAGUAGUUUAAUUUAAAAUAUUAAUUUGUGGAGUUAAAGAUGCAUUAAAAGUAUACCUUAAAUU
This 68-nucleotide transfer RNA is filed under the name Pheidole flaveria. RNAcentral's name for it is "tRNA-His". Lineage: Eukaryota; Metazoa; Arthropoda; Insecta; Hymenoptera; Formicidae. The record is from RNAcentral.